This 817-nucleotide ribosomal RNA is filed under the name uncultured Rhodococcus sp. Its description in RNAcentral is "bacterial SSU rRNA". It matches the Rfam family "Bacterial small subunit ribosomal RNA", at positions 37 to 870 of the family's 1533-position model. The record is from RNAcentral. Lineage: Bacteria; Bacillati; Actinomycetota; Actinomycetes; Mycobacteriales; Nocardiaceae.
UGGCGGCGUGCUUAACACAUGCAAGUCGAGCGGUAAGGCCUUUCGGGGUACACGAGCGGCGAACGGGUGAGUAACACGUGGGUGAUCUGCCCUGCACUCUGGGAUAAGCCUGGGAAACUGGGUCUAAUACCGGAUAUGACCUGCUCUCGCAUGGGGGUGGGUGGAAAGAUUUAUCGGUGCAGGAUGGGCCCGCGGCCUAUCAGCUUGUUGGUGGGGUAAUGGCCUACCAAGGCGACGACGGGUAGCCGACCUGAGAGGGUGACCGGCCACACUGGGACUGAGACACGGCCCAGACUCCUACGGGAGGCAGCAGUGGGGAAUAUUGCACAAUGGGCGAAAGCCUGAUGCAGCGACGCCGCGUGAGGGAUGAAGGCCUUCGGGUUGUAAACCUCUUUCAGCAGGGACGAAGCGCAAGUGACGGUACCUGCAGAAGAAGCACCGGCUAACUACGUGCCAGCAGCCGCGGUAAUACGUAGGGUGCGAGCGUUGUCCGGAAUUACUGGGCGUAAAGAGUUCGUAGGCGGUUUGUCGCGUCGUUUGUGAAAACCCGGGGCUCAACUUCGGGCUUGCAGGCGAUACGGGCAGACUUGAGUGUUUCAGGGGAGACUGGAAUUCCUGGUGUAGCGGUGAAAUGCGCAGAUAUCAGGAGGAACACCGGUGGCGAAGGCGGGUCUCUGGGAAACAACUGACGCUGAGGAACGAAAGCGUGGGUAGCAAACAGGAUUAGAUACCCUGGUAGUCCACGCCGUAAACGGUGGGCGCUAGGUGUGGGUUCCUUCCACGGAAUCUGUGCCGUAGCUAACGCAUUAAGCGCCCC